CAGCAGCCGCGGGAAUACGAAGGGUGCAAGCGUUAAUCGGAAUUACUGGGCGUAAAGCGUGCGUAGGCGGUGAGUUAAGUCUGCUGUGAAAUCCCCGGGCUCAACCUGGGAACUGCAUUUGUGACUGGCAAGCUAGAGUGUGGCAGAGGGGGGUGGAAUUCCGCGUGUAGCAGUGAAAUGCGCAGAUAUGCGGAGGAACACCGAUGGCGAAGGCAGCCCCCUGGGCCAACACUGACGCUCAUGCACGAAAGCGUGGGGAGCAAACAGGAUUAGAUACCCCUGUAGUCCCUGUCUCUUAUAA
Molecule: ribosomal RNA, 301 nt
Filed under: uncultured bacterium
Lineage: Bacteria
Description: partial 16S ribosomal RNA
Rfam family: Bacterial small subunit ribosomal RNA
Source: RNAcentral